GCCGACCCCAGGUCAGGCGGG
This 21-nucleotide ribosomal RNA is filed under the name Nymphoides cordata. RNAcentral describes it as "partial 26S ribosomal RNA". Lineage: Eukaryota; Viridiplantae; Streptophyta; Magnoliopsida; Asterales; Menyanthaceae. The record is from RNAcentral.